RNAcentral lists this ribosomal RNA (795 nucleotides) under uncultured bacterium. Its description in RNAcentral is "bacterial SSU rRNA". It matches the Rfam family "Bacterial small subunit ribosomal RNA", at positions 8 to 796 of the family's 1533-position model. The record is from RNAcentral.
AGAGUUUGAUCAUGGCUCAGAUUGAACGCUGGCGGAAUGCUUUACACAUGCAAGUCGAACGGCAGCACGGGGGCAACCCUGGUGGCGAGUGGCGAACGGGUGAGUAACACAUCGGAACGUGCCCAGUCGUGGGGGAUAACGUAGCGAAAGCUACGCUAAUACCGCAUACGAACUCUGGUUGAAAGCGGGGGACUCGCAAGAGCCUCGCGCGAUUGGAGCGGCCGAUGGCAGAUUAGGUAGUUGGUGGGGUAAAGGCUCACCAAGCCGACGAUCUGUAGCUGGUCUGAGAGGACGACCAGCCACACUGGGACUGAGACACGGCCCAGACUCCUACGGGAGGCAGCAGUGGGGAAUUUUGGACAAUGGGCGCAAGCCUGAUCCAGCCAUUCCGCGUGCAGGAUGAAGGCCCUCGGGUUGUAAACUGCUUUUGGACGGAACGAAAAGGCCUUUUCUAAUACAGAGGGCUCAUGACGGUACCGUCAGAAUAAGCACCGGCUAACUACGUGCCAGCAGCCGCGGUAAUACGUAGGGUGCAAGCGUUAAUCGGAAUUACUGGGCGUAAAGCGUGCGCAGGCGGUUAUGUAAGACAGGUGUGAAAUCCCCGGGCUUAACCUGGGAACUGCAUUUGUGACUGCAUAGCUAGAGUACGGUAGAGGGGGAUGGAAUUCCGCGUGUAGCAGUGAAAUGCGUAGAUAUGCGGAGGAACACCGAUGGCGAAGGCAAUCCCCUGGACCUGUACUGACGCUCAUGCACGAAAGCGUGGGGAGCAAACAGGAUUAGAUACCCUAGUAGUCC